RNAcentral lists this unclassified non-coding RNA (1021 nucleotides) under Leishmania donovani. Its description in RNAcentral is "gene:unknown". Lineage: Eukaryota; Euglenozoa; Kinetoplastea; Trypanosomatida; Trypanosomatidae. The record is from RNAcentral.
GCCACACAUGCGCGCCGGCGCAGAGUGGUGCCGCCGUGCCGUCCCGCCAAGCACAAGCGCCGCCCCCCCCCUCCACAAACUGUUUGCAGAAGGUGAAGCGUCGUGCGGCGGGACUACCCCGCGCGGUUUCUGAUCCGGGGAAGAGAGCUUGAUCAGCCGACCUUCCAAGCUACUCGAGGACGAACUCAAGCGCCACACAGCAAAGGUCUUCCGCAUCAGGAGCACACCACUCAUGCUCUCGGGGGGGGGGGGGGGGGUUCGCCGCCGUCUACAAGAGCGGACGUGUAGCAGAUCGCGGCAGCAGAUAUGUCUGUCAUCGGGCAAGCUGUGGCUCAGAUGAAGACGAACAUGGAAGCGGUCGUCAAGCAUUUGCGCCACCACAGAGGUCCACCGCGAAGAGAGCAACAAUGGCAGUCCAAGCGACGCAACGGGGACCGCAAGGGUGGAGGCCAAUAAUGCUAGCAGCAACAGCAGCCUCCUGUUCCUGCACGGCGCCCUCCGCACGCCGGCCUGCCACUGUAUCUCGGUGCAAAGGCCGGGUGUUCCACAUCGAAGGGAGGCCCAAAACGUGAGGGGCAGAGUCAAGCGGAUCGGAGAGCGCAGGAGCGGGUCACAACACAGAAUGACGGCGAAGCCGCGCGAGGCUAUGCGAUGGUGUGUGUGUGUGUGUGGUGGGUGGUUGGGGAGGAGGGGUGCACACGGUCGUAGCUCAGUGGACGGCCCGAACAGAGGCGCAGGAUGACGCCUUGAGAACCGCGGCGGCCCCAGCGCGAGGCCGGAGAGCGGUGGAGGGGCCCGCCGCCAGCAAGGGUUCCGGACCUGCUGUCUAACGGUGAGUGCUUCCACAGCGAAGCACUCGGCCUAUGUAGAGCCUCGGGCAUCUGUGUCGUGGUUGUAGUCCCUGAUCGCGACACAAGAGCUGGCGGAGAGUAGAGGCCUGAUUAUGCGCGUAGCACUGGGCCACGGCUCAUUGUUUUUUUUUUUUGGUGUUGUCGGGAAGCGUGUCAGUGCAGCGGACUCG